Molecule: non-coding RNA, 292 nt
Organism: Pocillopora verrucosa
Lineage: Eukaryota; Metazoa; Cnidaria; Anthozoa; Scleractinia; Pocilloporidae
Source: RefSeq, a predicted model, not a curated record
CAUAACUUGACUUCUAAUUGGGUCACAAUCUUUAAAGUCAUUACGAUUUUGCCGAAUUAUUUCAAAGAUCUACUUGCAUGCAUAAGGCACUUCAGCUUUUGCACCCCGUGAGCUUGCAAAGGGAACGGAACUCUUGAAGAAGAAAAGGAAUUCUACUUGAAAGUUGCCGCGAGCUCUCGCGUUCUCCAUCAUGACGGUGUGGUUUUCGAGGCAACCCAGCUAUUCAAUUGAAACCAUAUUAAAGUUGGUGUUUUCUGUUGUCACCGCUGCUACUAUGGUUAACGCUCAAAGU